UAGACCAAUAAAACUGCUAGUCUUCCUGUAUAAGAAUAUCUUUCCAGCAUAUAUUCUGCAAUGUAUAACUUCAAUUACUGUAAGAAAUUUUGGUGACAUCAACUGCUGAUUUUCCUUAAAUGGUCUUGUAUGUUGGACUGUGUGUGUAAACAAUGGAGGCUGGUGUAUCAGGAAAUCCAUUUACAUGUCUACAGAACACACUUAAGUGGUAGCAUUCUGAGCAUUUCAAAUUCAGCAUUUCUUGUACGCUGCUCCUGCGCUUGGUCUUGCUAGACGUAUGCCCUCAACAGAAAUCUUCAUCCCCACCCAGACAUUUCUCUUUUGGAAGUAUCUCUUUCUGUUACUUCAUAUUACUCUCACUCUCCAGCCGUCCCUCUCUUUCCAUCUGUUUCUGUCACUCUCUCCACCUUUUCUGUCUCAUUCCCUC
Anguilla anguilla (European eel) is the source of this 427-nucleotide long non-coding RNA. RefSeq lists it as uncharacterized. NCBI's taxonomy places the organism in Eukaryota, Metazoa, Chordata, Actinopteri, Anguilliformes, Anguillidae. The transcript is spliced from 3 exons. The record is from RefSeq and is a predicted model, not a curated record.